This 352-nucleotide ribosomal RNA is filed under the name uncultured bacterium. Its description in RNAcentral is "bacterial SSU rRNA". It matches the Rfam family "Bacterial small subunit ribosomal RNA", at positions 8 to 354 of the family's 1533-position model. The record is from RNAcentral.
AGAGUUUGAUCCUGGCUCAGAGUGAACGCUGGCGGUAGGCCUAACACAUGCAAGUCGAACGGCAGCACAGUAAGAGCUUGCUCUUAUGGGUGGCGAGUGGCGGACGGGUGAGGAAUGCAUCGGAAUCUACUCUUUCGUGGGGGAUAACGUAGGGAAACUUACGCUAAUACCGCAUACGACCUACGGGUGAAAGCCGGGGACCUUCGGGCCUGGCGCGAAUGAAUGAGCCGAUGCCCGAUUAGCUAGUUGGCGGGGUAAAGGCCCACCAAGGCGACGAUCGGUAGCUGGUCUGAGAGGAUGAUCAGCCACACUGGAACUGAGACACGGUCCAGACUCCUACGGGGGGCAGCAG